AUGCUUCUCCUAAAGACUAAGCCAUGCAUGCCUUCGAAUAGAAGAGCUUUCUCUCUGAAUCUGCGUACGGCUCCGCAAACCAGUUGUAAACCAUAGCAAGCAGACCUUGGGAACGGAGCAAUCCGUUCCCUUGGUCAUAGGGAUAACCCUGGUAAUUCUGAGGCUAAUACAAGAUCGUACCACCUGGCGAACCGGGCGACUGGUGAGCUGGGGUACGUGUGGAACGUCGCAUUACCAGUGGGAGAAGUCACACGCUCUGACCAUCACACAAAUGUUCCCGGUUGGACCGCCCCUCGGGGUGGCUCGGCUGGGUGCAGGUGGCUCUUGCAACGUGCUUCUGACCUAUCAACUAGAUGGCAGCGUAAGGGACAUGCUAUGGUGACAACGGGUACAGAGGAUAAGGGUUCGAUCCUGGAGAGUGGGCCUGAGAGAUCGCUCACACUUCUAAGGAAGGCAGCAGGCGCGCAACGUUCCCAGUGGACAUCGUCCGAGGGCGUUAGGGGAAAUAUGAAUGUCUGCCAUAUGGUGGACAAUUCAAAUGGGUUCGUUCUAAACAACCCU
Molecule: ribosomal RNA, 561 nt
Filed under: Fuligo luteonitens
Lineage: Eukaryota; Evosea; Eumycetozoa; Physariida; Physaraceae
Description: SSU rRNA
Rfam family: Eukaryotic small subunit ribosomal RNA
Source: RNAcentral